ACAGGGUCCUAUUCCUCAGAUGUCUGCUGCCCACCAGCUGCAAGCCAUGCAUGCUCAUCUGCAGAGCUGCAGAGGAUGGCAAUGGAACAGCAAUGGCUUCAUGGACAUCAUCUGCAUGGAGGCCCUCUACCUGGACAAGAAGAUUAUUACAGUCGUCUGAAGAAAGAAGGUGACAAGCCAUCUUAAACCCCAUUUGGUGCACGUCCUGAAACCCUACACUAUACUCAAAAGUGGAAUACUGUGUACCUUUAAGACAACAAAAGAAUAUUUGUGUCGAUUUUUGUUUUAAUAUAUUUUAGAAAUAUGCUUGUGGAUCCUUAUGUGUAUUCUGCGUUCAGCACUUAAUGGGACUUUGAAAGUCUGCUUGUAAUUUUCACUUCAGUUACAUAAGACUUUAUACUCUUUGAUUAUCAAAAUAUUAUAGACAUUCACAAAAUUCGUGUGAAAUCUAGUGGCAGAUUUGCUCAAAUAUGUUUAUUUGUUUCAUAUACAGUAAUGUAAACAGAUAUAAAAAAAAAAAGCCAGACUUUGGUGAUAAUAGUUCUAAAUGAUGUCUUU
Molecule: long non-coding RNA, 558 nt
Organism: Thalassophryne amazonica
Lineage: Eukaryota; Metazoa; Chordata; Actinopteri; Batrachoidiformes; Batrachoididae
Exons: 2
Source: RefSeq, a predicted model, not a curated record